RNAcentral lists this transfer RNA (76 nucleotides) under Thermotoga maritima. RNAcentral describes it as "tRNA-Thr (TGT) (tRNA-Thr-TGT-1-1)". It matches the Rfam family "tRNA". From Rfam's summary of the family: Transfer RNA (tRNA) molecules are approximately 80 nucleotides in length. Their secondary structure includes four short double-helical elements and three loops (D, anti-codon, and T loops). Further hydrogen bonds mediate the characteristic L-shaped molecular structure. tRNAs have two regions of fundamental functional importance: the anti-codon, which is responsible for specific mRNA codon recognition, and the 3' end, to which the tRNAs corresponding amino acid is attached (by aminoacyl-tRNA synthetases). tRNAs cope with the degeneracy of the genetic code in two manners: having more than one tRNA (with a specific anti-codon) for a particular amino acid; and 'wobble' base-pairing, i.e. permitting non-standard base-pairing at the 3rd anti-codon position. The record is from RNAcentral. RNAcentral also lists the same sequence under 18 other names. Lineage: Bacteria; Thermotogati; Thermotogota; Thermotogae; Thermotogales; Thermotogaceae.
GCCAGCGUAGCUCAACCGGUAGAGCGACUGAUUUGUAAUCAGUAGGUUGUGGGUUCGAGUCCCACCGCUGGCUCCA